CCUACGGGAGGCAGCAGUGGGGAAUAUUGGACAAUGGGCGAAAGCCUGAUCCAGCAAUGCCGCGUGAGUGAAGAAGGCCUUCGGGUUGUAAAGCUCUUUUACCCGGGAAGAUAAUGACUGUACCGGGAGAAUAAGCUCCGGCUAACUCCGUGCCAGCAGCCGCGGUAAUACGGAGGGAGCUAGCGUUGUUCGGAAUUACUGGGCGUAAAGCGUACGUAGGCGGCUUGGUAAGUCAGAGGUGAAAGCCCACGACUCAAUCGUGGAACUGCCUUUGAGACUGCUUCGCUUGAAGAUGGGAGAGGUUAGUGGAAUUCCGAGUGUAGAGGUGAAGUUCGUAGAUAUUCGGAAGAACACCAGUGGCGAAGGCGGCUAACUGGACCAUUCUUGACGCUGAGGUACGAAAGCGUGGGGAGCAAACAGGAUUAGAUACCCUGGUAGUCCACGCCGUAAACGAUGAUAACUAGCUGUCGGGGCUCUUGGAGCUUCGGUGGCGCAGCUACGACAUUAAGUUAUCCGUCCGUCGGGUAGGUACGGCCGCGAACGGUUAAAACGUAACGAAAGUAGAAGUUAGACGGCGUGUAGACGUUGCCGAACGGACGACGACGAGGGAGGAGG
Molecule: ribosomal RNA, 615 nt
Filed under: uncultured bacterium
Lineage: Bacteria
Description: bacterial SSU rRNA
Rfam family: Bacterial small subunit ribosomal RNA (bases 1-518)
Source: RNAcentral